This 253-nucleotide ribosomal RNA is filed under the name uncultured bacterium. RNAcentral describes it as "partial 16S ribosomal RNA". It matches the Rfam family "Bacterial small subunit ribosomal RNA", at positions 524 to 776 of the family's 1533-position model. The record is from RNAcentral.
CACGUAGGUGGCAAGCGUUAUCCGGAAUUAUUGGGCGUAAAGCGCGCGCAGGUGGUUUCUUAAGUCUGAUGUGAAAGCCCACGGCUCAACCGUGGAGGGUCAUUGGAAACUGGGAGACUUGAGUGCAGAAGAGGAAAGUGGAAUUCCAUGUGUAGCGGUGAAAUGCGUAGAGAUAUGGAGGAACACCAGUGGCGAAGGCGACUUUCUGGUCUGUAACUGACACUGAGGCGCGAAAGCGUGGGGAGCAAACAGG